GCACCAGACUCCUACGGGAGGCAGCAGUGGGGGAUAUUGCACAAUGGGGGGAACCCUGAUGCAGCGACGCCGCGUGAGUGAAGGAGCGUUUCGGCGCGUAAAGCCCUAUCGGCAGGGAAGAAGGAGGACGGUACCUGACUAAGAAGCCCCGGCUAACUACGUGCCAGCAGCCGCGGUAAUACGUAGGGGGCAAGCGUUAUCCGGAUUUACUGGGUGUAAAGGGAGCGUAGACGGCAAUGCAAGCCAGAUGUGAAAGCCCGGGGCUCAACCCCGGGACUGCAUUUGGAACUGUGUAGCUGGAGUGUCGGAGAGGCAGGCGGAAUUCCUAGUGUAGCGGUGAAAUGCGUAGAUAUUAGGAGGAACACCAGUGGCGAAGGCGGCCUGCUGGACGAUGACUGACGUUGAGGCUCGAAAGCGUGGGGAGCAAACAGGAUUAGAUACCCCAGUA
This 448-nucleotide ribosomal RNA is filed under the name uncultured bacterium. RNAcentral's name for it is "partial 16S ribosomal RNA". It matches the Rfam family "Bacterial small subunit ribosomal RNA", at positions 328 to 792 of the family's 1533-position model. The record is from RNAcentral.